AUACGUAGGGAGCGAGCGUUGUCCGGAAUUACUGGGCGUAAAGGGCGCGUAGGCGGCGCUUCAAGUCGUCUGUCAAAUGGGAGGGCUUAACCCUUUUUCGCAGACGAAACUGGAGAGCUUGAGAAGCAGAGAGGCAAACAGAAUUCCUGGUGUAGCGGCGACAUGCGUAGAUAUCAGGAAAAAUACCAGUGGCGAAGGCGGUUUGCUGGCUGCAUACUGACGCUGAAGCGCGAAAGCCAGGGGAGCAAACGGGAUUAGAUACCCCGGUAGUCCUGGCAGUAAACGAUGUAUGCUGGGUGUGAGACUAGCGAUAGUUUCGUGCCGAAGUUAACGCGAUAAGCAUACCGCCUGGGGAGUACGGUCGCAAGAUUGAAACUCAAAUGAAUUGACGGGG
RNAcentral lists this ribosomal RNA (394 nucleotides) under uncultured bacterium. Its description in RNAcentral is "partial 16S ribosomal RNA". It matches the Rfam family "Bacterial small subunit ribosomal RNA", at positions 523 to 918 of the family's 1533-position model. The record is from RNAcentral.